CUCUUAUAGAAAUAUAGAAAAAAUAGUUUCACUUUGUCUUUUACUAUGGAUAUACACUCUUCAUUGUCCAGUAUAUCCUUGCUGGGGAGAAGCUUCCAUCUUGACUAGUUGAUGGUAAGAAUUGAAACCUCUGUCUACGAGCCUCUGAAAUUUGCACAGUUAGCCAAUCUUACAUGCCUAACAGUUGGAGGCUGCUGGCUUCAGAGUCGACAGACUCCAUGCCUUUCAAGCUUCAUCUGUUCUGCUACCCACAUAGUUCUCUUGCUGGGCGUUGAAGAUCGUUUGUACAGCAACUAAACCUCUGGCCCCACCUUCAGAGUCACCGGCAACGAUUUCUGCUUUAUUUGGAGGACACUACUACACAACAGGCUAUGUACUAAAAUGCUCAGUCCUAAUAUUGUACACAAAGCCUAGAAGUUGAAAGUGAAUGCCCCCACGAGAGAGGCUCCAAAAUCUAUGAGCGUUUAAAAACCCUGACCACCCUGGACUGCUGCUGUGGAAGCAGUAACCCCUCCAGCGGGCAGAGAUGUUGCUCACACCAGUGCACAGCUUCUACAACCUAUUGGACAACCUUGCCAAGCUCCAGAAGGACUGUCCCUGGUUACUCCAGCUGAAAAAGAAAGCACCCAGUGGGGUACACAGUUUAGGAAAUGAGUGUUUGAAGUCAAAGACAAAGAUUCUUAUGGGAUCCAUAGAAGAUUCUAAGCUGGCUUCUUUUUGAAAAAAAUACAAGUUUUGCAUGGAAUGUUUAAGCCUACAGAGUCACCAAAUGUAGAAGGCCUGUGAUUCUGAAUUACUAUUUAAAGGGAAACCGUAUGUCAAUCAAGAACACUGAAUCUUAUUCAAAGCAAGCAUAAACUAUGGUGUAUGACAUUGUAUUUUGUUUUUGAUACAUCUGACCCCCAUCUGGCCCCCCUCAGGAAGAGACUGCAGAGAGCCUAAGGUCCUUGAGCUCCGAGAACAAUCACAGCCCAUUCCUGCAUCCUGCAGUCCCCAGUCUAAGCCUGGGAACAACGCCUACCCUGGUAAGAUGCAACAUACCCACCCACCUGCUGGGUAACACCACUGGUCACUGUGGCCACAUAUCAACCAUUCUCACUCCUCGAAUCCCAAGUCUUCCCCUUUGCAUCACACACGUAAGCCCAUCCCCAUCACUUCCAUCUUCAUCCAUGAAAGACCCAGUUCAAUAAAAUGGACUCAGACUCUGUUUCAGAGUUACUCCCGAAGGUCCCUCCUGGAACUCCCAAAUUCUGGCUGGCUGUGUUCUUUAAAGGGUCAUCACUCUUUACCUAACGUCCGUGCUGAAGCUUGGGAGGUGGCAUUCUACAGCCCCCUUUCACACACACACGCACACACACACACACACACACAGAGGCUACUGACACACCAGCACCAGAGCUUGUGUUCACGGAUGUAUCACAGUAGUGAUUAGACUGUGAGACUACUAUGAGUCAUCGCUGAUGGGCACACAGGAGAAAUAAAGUCCUAGGUACUGAAAAGCCCCACCUCAUUCAUCUUUCAUUUGUACAAACAGAUACACACAGCUCUCUCCAUCCAGCCUCUAACAAUCCAUUGCUAGACUGCAUUCAGACCACACAGCUGUCUCUGGGGAGGGGUACUAUAAUUUGGCCAGACAAGAUUUAAAUUAGAAAUUAUUUUAUGUUACCCCUCUUAAGUUGCCAACAAAAAUGCUAAGCAUCAAU
Fukomys damarensis (Damara mole-rat) is the source of this 1703-nucleotide long non-coding RNA. RefSeq lists it as uncharacterized. Lineage: Eukaryota; Metazoa; Chordata; Mammalia; Rodentia; Bathyergidae. The transcript has 3 exons. The record is from RefSeq and is a predicted model, not a curated record.